UGGCUCAGGACGAACGCUGGCGGUAUGCUUAACACAUGCAAGUCGAACGAGAAGGAAGAGCUUGCUCUUCCUGAAAGUGGCGAACGGGUGAGUAACGCGUGGGUAACCUACCCUUUGGAAAGGAAUAGCCUCGGGAAACUGGGAGUAAUGCCUUAUAAGAUACGUUUGUCGCAUGGCAUUUGUAUCAAACGCUCCGGCGCCAUAGGAUGGACCCGCGUCCCAUUAGCUAGUUGGUGAGAUAACAGCUCACCAAGGCCACGAUGGGUAACCGGUCUGAGAGGGCGAACGGUCACACUGGAACUGAGACACGGUCCAGACUCCUACGGGAGGCAGCAGUGGGGAAUAUUGCGCAAUGGGGGCAACCCUGACGCAGCAAUACCGCGUGAGUGAAGAAGGUUUUCGGAUCGUAAAGCUCUGUUAUUGGGGAAGAAAAAAAGACGGUACCCAAGAAGAAAGUUCCGGCUAACUACGUGCCAGCAGCCGCGGUAAUACGUAGGGAACAAGCGUUGUCCGGAUUUACUGGGCGUAAAGGGCACGCAGGCGGUUUUUUAAGUCAGAUGUGAAAGGCCACAGCUCAACUGUGGACAUGCAUUUGAAACUGAAAGACUUGAGUAUUGGAGAGGCAAGUGGAAUUCCUAGUGUAGCGGUGAAAUGCGUAGAUAUUAGGAGGAACACCGGUGGCGAAGGCGGCUUGCUGGACAAAUACUGACGCUGAUGGCUCAGGACGAACGCUGGCGGUAUGCUUAACACAUGCAAGUCGAACGAGAAGGAAGAGCUUGCUCUUCCUGAAAGUGGCGAACGGGUGAGUAACGCGUGGGUAACCUACCCUUUGGAAAGGAAUAGCCUCGGGAAACUGGGAGUAAUGCCUUAUAAGAUACGUUUGUCGCAUGGCAUUUGUAUCAAACGCUCCGGCGCCAUAGGAUGGACCCGCGUCCCAUUAGCUAGUUGGUGAGAUAACAGCUCACCAAGGCCACGAUGGGUAACCGGUCUGAGAGGGCGAACGGUCACACUGGAACUGAGACACGGUCCAGACUCCUACGGGAGGCAGCAGUGGGGAAUAUUGCGCAAUGGGGGCAACCCUGACGCAGCAAUACCGCGUGAGUGAAGAAGGUUUUCGGAUCGUAAAGCUCUGUUAUUGGGGAAGAAAAAAAGACGGUACCCAAGAAGAAAGUUCCGGCUAACUACGUGCCAGCAGCCGCGGUAAUACGUAGGGAACAAGCGUUGUCCGGAUUUACUGGGCGUAAAGGGCACGCAGGCGGUUUUUUAAGUCAGAUGUGAAAGGCCACAGCUCAACUGUGGACAUGCAUUUGAAACUGAAAGACUUGAGUAUUGGAGAGGCAAGUGGAAUUCCUAGUGUAGCGGUGAAAUGCGUAGAUAUUAGGAGGAACACCGGUGGCGAAGGCGGCUUGCUGGACAAAUACUGACGCUGA
Molecule: ribosomal RNA, 1430 nt
Filed under: uncultured bacterium
Lineage: Bacteria
Description: bacterial SSU rRNA
Rfam family: Bacterial small subunit ribosomal RNA (bases 700-1430)
Source: RNAcentral